AGAACCCAGGCGACACGGCGACAACCUACCUCCCAUCUCCACCUCGAGCGCAUCUCCAUGCUCCAACACGGCGCCAACCCCUGCCACGCGCCGCCGCAGACAGCCCCCGCCUCUCCGCCGCGCGUCGCCACCACCGGCAAUUGUCAUCCGCAGCCCCUCUGUUGUGCACCGCUCCUCCGCUAUGCGUCGCCACCGCUGGCCACCGCAGUCCGGAUCCACCCCUUUGCAUCGAGGUUCUUCAAAUCUCCGACGAAUCCCUCUAUGGAUGGAGCAGCAUCGCCGGCCACGUAUGCGUUCGGACGGCUGGAUCCGCACCACCGCCGCCCGUGCCGGCGUUCCCACGGUCACGUUCCUCUCCACCGUCACCUGCGCCCGCCAGCGCUCAUCCAUAGCCGUGUUCUUUAUGGCUUCGUUGACCAUGAUGCCUCGGCUGAGACCCAGGCCUGCUUGGCCGCCAGAUGGAUGGAUACCGGCCAAGCUCACCCUCGGCGCCCCGGCUGCAACCCAUGGUUGAUUGGCCGCCGGCUAGAAGGGGGCGUCCUGCUCCUCCCGACUAAGCUUGAUGUGGGGCGUUGGACUGACAGCCUGGUGUUUGAGGCAGGACCGCAUGAGCAGUGGCUUGCAUCCAGUAGGAGGCAGCAAGAAGCAGCGACGAUUCUAAACUAGCUGCUAGCAAUGCACCCCCACCCUCUCAUCUACUUACAUGGAUUUUCAACGGCCAAACUACAUUCUUGAUUCUUUCUUUAGCGCUUUCAGUUUUCACUAACAAUCCAUAUUUUGUACACCGUGAACCCUGUUCAUGAGCAUCUGACAACAACCUGUUUGAUGUUAUGCAUACGACGGAUUGAGGUACAGUCUAAUUUUCAGGUCAAACUCUUACCUCUGUUUAGAAAAAUCAAUAUGAAGAAACAGGUGUAUCUAAUGUACGAUCUGCACUUAAGAACAAGUGUACAUGUUGCUCCAAGCUACCGACGUUGACAUCCAAAGAGUCAGCCAGGGUCCACGGUCCAUUUGAUUUCGUGGGGAUUAUUCAGUAAAAUGCGAUCUACACAGAAUCCAAUCCGAUCCAGGUGAAACAGAAGUUGGUAGAUUAUUCCGGCGAUGGGGCGUCUACUUGUGCGGCUCUGCAUGUAUGUUGCAAUCUACACAGAAUCCAAUCCGAUCCAGGUGAAACAGAAGUUGGUAGAUUAUUCCGGCGACGGGGCUUCUACUUGUGCGGCUCUGCAUAGCUCAAGGCAUCAGGUCUUCUUUAGAGAAAAAACUCUCGCUCAGUUUAUUUUCCAUGUUGUGUUAAAUUCCAAUGAACUAUCUUCAUUACAAAUGGUAAGCUAAAGCAGAUUAAAAAGGGUAAUAAAUUUGCUCAAUCCAUGGUCAGUUGCUAAACUCAGUAGGAUCUGCACUUCAAGGAGCUAACUGUUCACUAUAAUCCAUGGUCAGCCCUUAGGGUAUUCAUCCACUCAGGGUCCUGUAUCUGAAUUUUGUGGUCUGGAAAUUUUUACCGGUUAUUUCAUAAAUAAGAUUAUAGAGUUGUUCUCCCUAUGUUUUGCUAAUCUGCUCACUUGCUAUAGUAAAUAAAUAAUUAAAUUAUCGGGAGUCGUAAUUUCAAGGAAAGAAACAAGAGCACUUUGAGGUCGCUGCUAUCGCACCAGUACUGGCAGUACAUGGGAACAUUUGUUGGUGUUGUAUUCGCAUCAGUGGAGAUUUCUCCUUCAGUCACCAUGCCAAUCCAUGUCUAGCAUGUUUAGUCACAUUGAGCUCUUCCAACUUUUCUUAAGCUAUGUUGUACACACACACAAGUUUGCAGCUGAAUAUGAAUUAAUUUAUUGUGAUUUUUCAUUAUCAUGUAACGUGUUCUUUUAUCUGAUGAACAAUAAUAUAAUUCCAUGCCUAAAAUCAUAGUUUGGGAAUGUAUUUCUCUGCCAUCUAAUUUCCCUCAAUUAUUAGUUGAAGAGACAGUCGAUCAACCCCUCUCUAUUGUAUGGUUAUUUCGUGAACGUGAUUACGUGAAUGUUUCGGUUAUAUAUUUGAUAUUUUGACGCAGAAACCCAUUUUUUCAUGUGUGAACGUUGCAUA
Molecule: RNA transcript, 2073 nt
Organism: Triticum aestivum (bread wheat)
Lineage: Eukaryota; Viridiplantae; Streptophyta; Magnoliopsida; Poales; Poaceae
Exons: 3
Source: RefSeq, a predicted model, not a curated record